AUUCUGUUUUCCUUUUCAUUGAAUUCUCUUUCAGCUUACAACCUUCACACAGCAGGACGGUAAGUCUUCUCACUAACAUGUUCAAUUAAUGAAUCAUUUCCUUUGCUGACAAAAAUAAAGCCCAGGAGGCCAACCCAUGUUGGAAGUAGAUUUCCAGCUGAAUUUUGAAUAAUGGAGAUAUCCACCAAAUGUUCUAAGUUAAAGUGAUAAUAAUGAUGAUACAAAUCGAUGUCUGAUUGUAACAUUUCUUUGAAAACGAUUGAUCAAAGGUAUGGUGUCCAGUAAUGGUUAUCGUGUUCUCCAGUGGACGGGCGUAUCUGGAGGACUUCCACCAAAUGAAACAACUUUUGCAAAAAUAUUGAAAGAUAAAGGCUAUGCCACUGGACUCAUAGGAAAAUGGCAUCUGGGUCUCAACUGUGAAUCGUCCGACGAUUACUGCCACCACCCGCUCAGCCACGGCUUUGACCAUUUCUACGGAAUGCCGUUUUCCAUGAUGGGAGACUGUGAGCCCUGGGAAAUGUCUGAAAAGCGUGCCGGCUUGGAGCAUAAACUCAACGUCUGCUCGCAUGUCAUGGCUUUGGCCGCCUUCACGCUCACCGUUGGGAAACUCACCCGCCUGGCAGCGGGCUCCUGGACUCCGGUCAUCUGCUCGACCAUCGUGGCCCUCUUGUUCUUCACGACCUCCCGUUUCAUGGGUGCCCUGAUUGUCCACGCGGACUGCUUUCUGAUGCGAAACCACUCCAUCACCGAGCAACCCAUGUGCCUUCAAAGGACGACGGCCCUUAUGCUCAAGGAGGUCUCAUCCUUUGUCAAAAGAAACAAGCAAGGACCUUUCCUCCUCUUCGUGUCCUUUCUACAUGUCCACACCCCUCUCAUCACUACCGAGAACUUCCGAGGGAGGAGUCCCCAUGGGCUGUACGGGGACAACACAGAAGAGAUGGAUUGGAUGGUGGGGCAGAUCCUUGGUACUUUGGACACGGAAGGUCUGACCAACAGUACCCUCAUUUAUUUUACGUCGGAUCACGGGGGAUCCGUAGAGGCUCGGUUUGGAAACAAUCAAUAUGGUGGCUGGAAUGGGAUAUAUAAAGGUGGCAAAGGCAUGGGCGGCUGGGAAGGUGGGAUCCGGGUCCCAGGGAUACUGCGGUGGCCCGGGGUGCUGCCCGCCGGCCGCCUGAUCCACGAGCCCACCAGCCUGAUGGAUGUCUUCCCCACCGUGGUCCAGCUGGGGGGUGGCCAGGUGCCCCAUGACAGGGUGAUUGACGGCCGGGACCUGCUACCCUUGCUCCUCGGGACGGCCCAGCACUCCGACCACGAGUUCCUGAUGCAUUACUGCGAGAGCUUCCUGCACGCAGCCCGCUGGCACCAACGGGGCAGAGGGGCAGUGUGGAAAGUCCACUUCGUGACCCCGAUUUUCCACCCAGAAGGAGCCAGCGCCUGCUACGGGAGAGGGGUCUGCCCGUGCUUUGGGGACAGAGUAGCCCAUCAUGACCCACCGUUGCUGUUUGACCUCUCGAGAGACCCUUCCGAGGCUCACGCCCUCACGCCGGACACCGAGCCCUCAUUCCAUCAGGUGAUAGAAAGCGUCACAAAGGCCGUGGCGGACCAUCGCCGGACGCUCAGCCCGGUUCCACUGCAGCUGGACUUGCCGGACAACAUCUGGAAGCCGUGGCUCCAGCCCUGCUGUGGUCGGUUCCCUCUCUGCUGGUGUGAUCGGGAAGCUGACCCAUAAUAGCCGCCCCCACCCCCCCGGGAAAACUAGGUCCCUGCUCCCUAGAGAUCUUCGUUGGGGUCAGAAUGAAAUGGCCUGAAGUCAAGCUGUCUGCUUGUGUGUGGGGCUGAAUCUCUUCACCAACUCUAAAGAGAAAGUGUCACCGAACUCAGGUUCAGGUUCUCACGGCUCAGGAAUGCAAUACUAAAUCGGUACAAAUGAACGUAUGUACAAAACAGAAAUAGAGUCACAGACAUAGAAAACGAUCUUAUGGUUACCAGCUGGAAAAGGGGGUGGAGGGAUAAAUUGGGAGAUUGGGAUCGACAUAUAUACACGACUGUAUAUAAAAUAGAUAACUAAUAAAGACCUGCUGUAUAGCACAGGGAACUCCACUCAAUACUCUGUAAUGCCCUACAUGGGAAAAGAAUCUAAAAAAGGGAGUGGAUCUAUGAAACUAACACAACAUUGUAAAUCGACUCUACUCUAGUAAAAAUUUUAAAACAACAACAACAACAAAACUUUUCAGAGAGGGAUACAAUUAGUUUAGACCACAUGUCUACGGAAGCAUUUGACUAAGACGGUCUAUCAGCAAGAUUAAGAGUCUGUCUGGGUUUAAUCUUCUGAGGAUGCUUGGGAACAAAAGCCCAGAUUCAUGCGGGUAAAUUUAGGGGACAAAGGAAA
Non-coding RNA from Kogia breviceps (pygmy sperm whale), 2389 nucleotides. NCBI's taxonomy places the organism in Eukaryota, Metazoa, Chordata, Mammalia, Artiodactyla, Physeteridae. The record is from RefSeq and is a predicted model, not a curated record.